CUGAGGUUAGGAUGUCCUCGGGUGGGACUGAAUAAACACCUUGGACUUUUUCCUCCAACGGAGUCCGACUCCUUCCUAUGUCUUCGGCAAGGUCUCUCCCGUGAUAAAGGGAAAACCCCCUUGUCUGCUUCUCUGGUUCCCAAGGUCCAGAGGAGCAUUCCCUGUCUGUCUGCAGUGUCAGAGGUAGCUUAGGUGGACGGAGCCACUGCUCCGAGGACACUGCGGCACAGCCUUACCCAUUCUACGACUCUGUGGUUCUGUGCCUCUAAGAAGCUUGAUCAACGAACUACUACUUGCAAUCACCAACAACUUGACAUUUGUAGGAGAUUCAGGCUUAAUUCUGUACCUGAAGGGCAUUGGUGACUUGAAUCAGUCCUAGGGUUUAUUCAACCUCAAGUGAAGUUAACAGCACAUCAAGUUCUAAGGAUUAUUUUUAACCUUUAUAUUAGUGUUUCAUUGCUGCCUGAUGAAGCCUCCAUCCAAUGGAAAAAAUUUUCUUCUAACAAUUCAAGAUCAAAUCCUAAAUCAUUAUAGCAGGCCUGGAAUGGGUGCACAGCUGGAAUGUGAACAUCACAGAAAUGUAUAUAGUGAAACGUCUGGAGGUGGCAGAGGGAGCCAGGAGGCUGCUGCUGGCUUCUCAGCAGCCCACUUUGCACCCAGCCAUGCCAGAAACCUGGGGACUGCUCUCUGAAUUUUCUGCUUGAAAACGGAUGAGGACUUGAGACUAGAAUUCCUCUCUCUCUCCUGAACGCUUUGCUUUAAUGCACCACACCGAUACCACUUGAAUACCGGAGACUGGCACUUCAUAUUUUGCAUCCUAGUAAAAUUAAUUGUUCCUGUGUUUGAUUUCAUUUCCUUGACUCCUAACCUCCAAGUAGAACAAGAAAAACUUAAUAGUGUUGGCUAUGUAGGCGGAGAAGGGGGAUUUAUGUGGGUGGAGAAGGUCUUGAAAUGAGCCACUCAUCUGACAGAAAACAAGAAAACACUUUUUUGGAAAGUUCAGUUUAGUAGUUUAAAAAGUAUUUACAUAUACUGCAUCAAAAUAAGUUUGUACAGUUGUCAAAUAUAUCUUGAAUAUUAGAUUUUUCAUUUCCUCUGAUGCUCAUUGAGUUCAACUAUCCCAAACAAACCUUUAACAACUUCCCCGCUGGAAUAUAAUUUCCUUCUGCUGUGUUACAUUCUUUGUUUCAUUUUGCAAAAUAAACAUCUAACUGGAGAGUGGGUGGAGACAGACUGCAAUGUAUCUUCUAAUAUUUUGGCCAGUGUUACAUCUGCUGGGGAUACAAUUUGAGGAUGGUGGAAUUUAGAAUUUUGUCCAUACUGGAACAGAAUUACUUUUUUUCCUUGACAUCAAUGCACUAUGUGUUAAAAUAUGGAGUAGAACUGUGCUGGUUUAUCCUCUUUGUCCUCCAGUGCUUAGUUUCAUUUGAAACAAAGUUCUACUACUGAUAACCUUGACUGCAAGAAAAGCCUCCCACUUAGAUCUUUAUGAAGUGUGACAUCAGCUUUUAUUUAAAGUUCAGAUGAGGAGAAAAAUCUACUUUUUAGUGGAAACUGAAGGUAGCAUCUGAUUUUUCCUUGCUGGCAGUAGCACCAAAAACUGUUAGCCUUUACAUAGCAAAGUUUUGUGUUUUCUAGGAGCUGACAAAUGAUGCUUUCACCACCCCUUCAAUGCGGGAACAAAACACACGCAAUUCAUCUGUAAUGUAAAAUCAAGAUCAAUACCACAGACUAACUUGGUUCAGCGUACAGCUGAUUAGAAUUUUAUGCCUUUUCUGUCUGAAAAUGGUUAAAUAGAGAAUCCCACUUACAAAACACAGGGUGAGGAAAAAUUCUAGAUUUAUCAUUCUUAAAGCUGUAACCUGAGAUGUCAUCAGGUCCACAGAGGCAGCAGCCCAUGAUAAUACAGGAUGUAAGAAAACCACACCAUGCUUUUAUGUUCUUUCUCUUAUUAAUAUAAUGUUUGUGCAUUCAGCCUGCCUGAAAACAGUCCCCC
Hirundo rustica (Barn swallow) is the source of this 1996-nucleotide long non-coding RNA. RefSeq lists it as uncharacterized. Lineage: Eukaryota; Metazoa; Chordata; Aves; Passeriformes; Hirundinidae. The record is from RefSeq and is a predicted model, not a curated record. The transcript has 3 exons.